GUAAUUCAUUCAGAUAGUUCAAAUUACUUCUGGAGAGGUGAAUUUAUGUCUAGAAUACUACACAGUUGAAUCUUAAUAUUUUUAAAAAGUUAGCUAAUAUACUUUGAUUCGUAAAUUGUGAAAGGUCUGGAUGUAUUUUUUAAAAAUGGAAAUAGUAAAGCCAUCCUUCUAUGUGAUUAUAUAGAAACUAAACCAGAGCAAAAAUGAUUCAACUGGAUUUAUCGAGAAACUACUCUGGGCUAACAUCCGUGUCAGGUACUGAGUGAGAUACAAGAACAAAAUUUCCACCUGCAAGAAUGAAGAAAGUUGUCCUGAAUGGAAAAAAAUCUAACAGGACUUGGAAGGACAAAUAACAUUCAACAAGUAAAUAUGAAGAAAGGUUAAUAGCUUUCCAGAAGAGAAACACAGUGCAAAUGAAUGGAAGUAUGAAAAUAGAGAUUUUUAUGAAAAUACAAAUUCAUCAAGAUUAGAGAGUUCUAAUUUUAAAAGAAUGUAUUCAGUAAAAACCCUAUUGAUGACAAAUUUGGAGGGAAUUCUAAAAGUUAAGCGUUUUUGUUCUUUCCUCUCUUCUUCCUUUUCAUUUUCUUUUUCCUUCCUUCUUUCUUCUUCCUUCCUUCCUCUUUCUUUCUCCUUCAAAUUACAACCUGCAUCUUAGAAAACAUAAUGAGUGACUGUGUAUAGGAAGGAUUCACCAGCAGCACCCAGUUGCUAUGGUAUGUUAUGGGUUUGAAACAACAGUGCUUACUGGGGAAGAAAAGUAUAGAAAGGCCUAAGUUGCAAUGGAUCAUAGCACUUUUGUGAGUUUCAGCAGAGCUCAAAUUACCAUUGAGUAAAGGAGUAUUUGUCUACUGAGAGUGUAAAGGCUAUUAGCAAUACUGUGAUUUUCUAGCCUCACAGAACUCAGCCCCAGGUGGAAAAGGCGGACUCAAGAAGGUGAGUGUAUAUGGAAAAAAACCACUUCCUUGGUCUGCAGCAAUGUAAAGCUCAGCAUCCUUCUUGAAACUCUUCUUCCUUAGCUCUUGGAAUACCAUUAGUCUCUGGUCCUUGUACAGUUUUGAUGAAUCUUGUUUUUCUGACUCUUCUCUACCCAAAGCUAAAAUGCUGUGUUUCUCAAUUGUUUUUCACUCGAUACUGCCUUGAGAAUUUAUCUUUUCCUAUGCCUCACUUGUAUAACAUAUGUUAAAUACUAAUAUAAGCCAGCCCCAAUUUACAUAUCCAGCUCUCAUUAAAAAAAAAAAUUCUAUUUCCUAGCUGUAGUCAAUUAAUGUCCUUUUAACACUUACAAGUUACCAAAAUUGGGAUCAUUACCUUUUCCAUUUUACUCCACUGGGUGCUUCUCCUAGUAGCUACCUUUGAUAAUAGGAAAACCAGACCCUUGUAUUAGAAACCUUUCUCAAAAAUCACCAAAUCCUAUCAAUUUCUAGGGUUUAAAAAACCCAUUCCUCCUUUCUAAGCCAUCUGCCAUUUCCCUAGUUCAGUUCUCACAGUAAGAACAUAGCAGGCUGGGAGCAAUUGUUGACCCUAAGAAGAUCACAUUUGAUGAAGAAGCUGGAUAUGUAGAAAAUUACAGUAUAAUUAUUAUAAUAAAGAUAUGCACAAAGUGCUAUGCUUUGCAGAGAAAGAAACAAUUAACAUGACUGGUAUGUCUGAUAGACAGUCUUUGAAUGCUUUGAUAAAUUACAUUUGACAUGGAUCUUGGAUGAUUAGCAGGGGAACUUUAGCUACAGAUGGGAAAAAAAGGGUAUCAGAGAAAGAAAGCAAGCCUAUAAAAGGCAAAGAAAGACCAGACCACAGUUGAGGAAUGUGGUUGAACAUGAAGCUUUAAAGGUAAGGUGAGGCAAGAUUGUGAAAGGUUUUAUAUUCCAUGCCAAGGAGGCUACACUUAUUUUGCAGGAUAGAGGAAGACACUGAAAGACUUUAAAUAGGUAAGUGUCACCAGGAGAUUUGUGUUUAAGAACAGUAACAUUGACACAUCUGAAAGAAAAUGCAAUCAUUCUCAACUUCAGGUGAUUUGUCUCCCCAGUAGGCACUUGGAAAAGUGGGAAUAUUAUCUGCAUGUCAUAAUGACUAGGGCAUGCUACUGGUAUUUAGUAGGCAAAAUCUAGGCAUGUUUAUGUCAUAUACUGCAUGGAAUAGUCUCUCAUGAAAGAAUAUCCUUUCCCCAAAGGCAGUAGGACACUGACUAGGAAACACUGAAUUGCUAAUUUGGUAAACAUUUACUAAAUAUUUUCAUAGAUGGAACAUGUUAAAAAUUUCUACUCACCUAGUUUUAAAAAUAACCAGGAACAAAUCCCUACUCAGAAAUCACAGGAAGCAGUAAAAAGACUACUACCCCAUUGGAGAGGGUUCCACUUCAAGUGAUGGUCAAGAAGUUCUUUCACACCACCUGCCAACAUAUGAAAUUACAAACCUUGGACAAAAUUUUUAAAAAUGAACUAGUCGAAAGUAAUAGAAAACAACCAAAAGCAGGCUGAUCCUACAGAGGAGUGAAUAUUUAGAAGAAAUAGCAUUGGGUGAGUUUCCUAUUUUUAUAGCUCUUAGCCUGAGGGUACUCCUCACUCUGCAUCAUGUGGAGACUAUAGUUGUACUGACUUGAAGAACCCUAGGACAGAGCUUGGGGUAAUGGCAGCUGCUGGAAAAUGCAGAGAGAAGUCCUGAUAAGAAAAGGACCACAGAGAGAGCCCUGAAUUCUGUGUAUGACUGCCAAAACUGGCUGGUUUCCCAAGCAUGCAAGUACAGAAGAGAUUUCAACUACAAUAGCCAGGUUAAAAAGCUGAACUAAAAUUUGAGUUGCCAUGAACUCUAGGGGAACCAGAGUUUGCGGCUGGGAGUUUGGCCAAGCUAACUAGCUGCUUUUUUUUUUUUUUUUUUUUUUUUUUUUUUUUUUUUAAAAAAAAAAGAAGGUUUUGGAGAAACAAAUAAAAAUCCAGGGUUUCUGCAACAUUUUACUUACCAUGUCCCAGCCACAAUCUAAAUUAUUCAACAUAUGAAGAAACAGGAAAAUGUAACCCAUUCUUGAAAGAAAAGAAAAUUAGAGAGGACUGACAAUGAAAUGAUCCAGAAUAUUGAAAUGAAUAUUGAAUAUAUUAAUUCAAUAUAUUAAAACAAGAAUUUUGAAAAUUGAACAUAGAAAUACUCAAUACUGAAAUAUUUAAUAUUAAAAUAUUAAAUGUUAAAAUAGACAAGUAUUUAAUAUUGAAAUAGAAUACUGAAAUGAGCCAUCAAGUAUCUUAAAGUAGCUACUAUAACUAUGCUAAAAGGGUGUAAGGAAAAAUACACUUGCAGUGAAUGAAAAGAUAAUCUCAGCACAGAAAUAUAAAUUAUAAAAACUAAGUAGAAUUUCUAGAACUAAAACACACAAUAAUUACAUAAAAGUUCAUUGAAUGGGUUUAAAAGAAAAUGAGCACAGAAGAGUCAGUAAGUUGGACUAUAUAGAUCAAGUGAAAAAAUCCAAUUGAAGAAAAAAGAGAAAAAAAGGGAAGAAAAAACAAGAGCUUCAAAACCUGUGAGACAAUAUCAAAAGGUCUAGCAUAUUCGUAAAUGCAGUCCCAGGAGGAGAAGAGAAAAUGAGGUCGAAAAAAAAUAUUUGAUGAAAUAAAGCACUCAGAGGAAAAUUACAUUUCUUCACAGGGGAAAAACUAUUUGAACAUUCCUCUUCUCAUUGGAAACAAUGGAGGUCAGGAAACUGGAACAACAUCCUUAAAAUGGCAAACGUGGGGUCGGGGGAAGUUAAUCUAGAAUUAUGUAUUCAGCAAAAAUAUUCCUCAGGAAGGAAAACAAAAUAAAGACAUUUUCAGAUUUUAAAAUUUGUCAUACUUAAUUUCCAGCAGAUAUGAACUACAGAUGUUAAAGUUUUUCAGUUUGAAAGGAACGAUGGUACAAGGAAACUUGGAUUUUUCAGGAAGAAAUAAGAGCAUCAGAAAUGAUAAUUUAGGUAAAUAUAAGAAAGCAUUUUUUAAAAAUUUAAAAUAUGUAUCUGUUCAAAGAAAAUUAUAACAUAUUGUGGAGUUUAUAACAUGUACUAUAUGUAAUACAUUUAAUAAGAUAAUGGAUGAGGUGAUAGGGUAAAGAGGCUUAUAUGGUUGUAAGUUUUUUAUAUUUCAUGUCAUAUAGUACAAUAUU
Molecule: long non-coding RNA, 4122 nt
Organism: Macaca fascicularis (crab-eating macaque)
Lineage: Eukaryota; Metazoa; Chordata; Mammalia; Primates; Cercopithecidae
Source: Ensembl